AACCGACAACAAACCACAAAACACAGAACAAGACUUACAUGUGUAUGAGAUGUUUAGAACCGACAACAAGCCACAAAACACAGAACAAGACUUAGAUGUGUAUGAGAACAACUCAGCAAUAUAUGAGAACACAAAAUAUACUACAUGAUCUUCUUUGAAGGUACAGUAAGUUGUGAUCUCAUCAGUGAAAAAAGACAUCUUAACAGGCAGACCAUCAUGUUUUUUAUUCAGGAGAAAUUAUAGAGAUUAUAUAAAAAGUUAAUAAAAACAGCAACUCUUUGUCUUAAUCAGACAUUUUUUGUCUUGCAGAUAGUUGAAAAAUCAUCACCAGCAUCGAGAAGACACCUUUAUUGUUUUUUAUGAGUGGUAGUGUCAGCUGAUCAGUCGGUCCACUGCUUUGGUUCACACUGAAAUAUCUCAACAGUUAUUGCUAUUGUUAAAUUUUGUAAAGACAUUGAUGUUCCACAGAAUAUGAAUCAUGUUGACUUUGAUGACAUCCUGACUUUUUCCUCUAUAACCAACAUGAGUUUCAUAUUAGUAGUUAUGAGUGAAAUAUCUCUAUUUCCAUGAAAUCACCACACUUGUGUCCCCCAAAUUGCUGAUCCCUUAACUUUUUAUAUAGUGUCACCCUCAGGUCACAUUUAUAAAAGAUAUAAAAUAAUUUGAUUUAAGGUAAAAUACCUGCAGCAGCCUCAGCUGUGCAGUGAGUCAAAACACUUAGUUUAGCUUGUGAACAAGCUGUGGCAAACAUUAUAUCUGCUGCUGUAAAUCAACAUGUCAGCACUGUCUUUGUAAAAAUGUAAACAUGUAUAUGAUGAAAGUUAUUUAGCUCAAAGCAGCACUGAGUCUACAGAGCUGCUAGCUGUAGACUCUUAAGGGGGAUUCACGUUACAGUGAAAAAACAAGGUGAUUAGCUGAUGGACUGACUUUUAUGGAAACCUAAAAGCUACAAUGCUGAUUUUAUUUAUUAAUAAAUUUUUUUAUUAUUUUUAUUAUUAUUAAUUUAUUUAUUAGUUUGUUUGUUUGUUUCAUUUUAAACAGGCAAAUAUAUUUUUGGUCUGUGGAUCGAUUUGUUAUUGAACAGUUCAGGGAAUUCAGAAACAUACGAACAUACCUUUUUUGUCCAUCUUUCAGUUCAAUCAAUGGUAAACAGUUAUUAAGUCAAAAUUCAACAAAUUCAAAAUGUCAUUAAAAUUAUAUACACAAUAAUGGACAUGGCAUGCACAAAAUAUGCCUUUCUGUGAUAAUGUAACUACAUCUGUAGGUUCUUUACUUGAUAUUAUUUCUCUGCUAGUUUGUAUAUAUAUAUUUUUCCAUUUUACAGUGCAAUUCAAUUUGAUAGUAACUUUAUAUGUGUAUGUGUUACUAUUAAACAACCAGUAAUAUAAAUGUGCUUACAUUACAGUACAUUACAAACUACAUUCAUUAGUUUUUUUGGCCAGGAAAAUAAUUCCACAACAAGAUAACAUACAACUGCCCUGAUAAGCCAAUAUUAUCACCUUAAACAAUUUCAUGGCUACUGUAUUCAUAAACUGUAUUAUUUCUGCUGAGUUUCUGGCCACUUAAUACAUGCAAGUCCAAUAUUAACUCUCCUUUAAGCCAUGUUUGAUAUGCACCAGCCCUUGACAAAAAUAUCUAGCUCCUAAACCUGAAACUACUCUGAUCACACUGCGAACAACUCACAUUGACUCUUCUGCUAAAGUCUCUUCCAUAUCUAACUUAAAGACAUGAGACAAGUAUUGGACCAAACAAGCAUUCACUGGAGAAAAGUGCACUGAUUAUAUCAGUUUACAGACUAGAUAGCUAAUUUAUUUAAGAUGUUUUAUUCAUGAUGAAGCUGACAGGACUCAUGUUCUGAUUUAUCAACUUUUCCCUGUAAAGCUUUGAUGUUGACAUUAGUGUAAUAAAGCUGUAUUUAUGUCCUACAAAUGCAUGCUUGAAUUCAUGUUUGAUUUUUUAUUAAUUUAUGAGAAACAAAAAAAUACUGCAAGACAAAAAAAUUAUUGUGGUGAGUGGAGGGUUUACUGUAUAAGUAAAAUGAGCUGUUACACUUCUGUACUUUCAAGGUUUUAGAACAACAAGGUUAGGUGGGUAUUAUACCCUUACAUGCCCAAAAGAUUGCCAGACAACGUCAACGGCACUCAUGUAGUCUGUGAGAUGUUGUAUUUGUGUUUUCCAUUAUUAUUUAUUAGAAUGAAUUACUGCUAAAUUUAAUUGUUUAGAUUUAUUGAUUACCUGUAGCAAGUAGGCGUGGUUUUGGCUUGAAUCCGGCAUAGUCACCUGAGUAUGGCAGCUAGUGUCAGUCUAGCAGUGUCAGUGUCAAGUGACUGUGGUAAAAUCCAAUUUCAACAACAAUUUCACAUUUUUUCUUCACUCAACGUUUAUCUUAUAUUACUUAAGUUAUUAUUUUUGUUAAGUUUUGAGUUUAAUAGAAAUUAUGAAAUCAACUUAAUUUAUGUUUGGAAACUCCUUGUUUAAUAGUAAAUUCAUCAAGUUGAAGAACCUGCAUUUGGAGUGCGUUAAAAAUCACCACUGUCUGAAACCCGGCAGCAUCACCACCUUCGGAUGCCUUGACAUGAAGCGUGAUAGGAAAACUCCAAUAACCCAUUACUUCCUUAUUAGCCUUCAUAUACUGAGACCCACAUUGUCACACUGAAACCACCUGAAGGAAAGUUAAGGAGUUUGACACAAAAUGAGUGAUGGAGUUUUUAUUAUUAUUAUUAUUAGUAGUAUUAUUCUGUUGAUUUAUUUUGACAUUUCACAGUCUUUUGCUUACAUAAAUUGCACCUAACUUCAAUUAGCAAGCAGUUUCUUAAAUGCCUUCAAAGUAAUAUUAUGUGCACAAACUUAAUUUGUGGAGCAAACAAACAUGAUGUUGUUUGAGAAAGAAAUGUUUUAGACAUACGAUCCCAGUCUUGAAUAUAUGCGAGUUUAAAGUAUUUCUGUCUUUUGGGAUGAAAUACAUAACUUACAAAAAAGUUGCAUUAGCCUUCACUUUUUGUCCAAGGAGUUUUAAAAACUGGCUAAAAGUCACUGCUACUAGGUUGUAAACACAAAUAACUUAAUACCACUGUGUACUGGUUACCAUUCACUAACUGGGUAUUUUUCCGUUGUUGAGUAUAAAUGGUGUAAUUUCAGAUCCUUGCAUGAAACACUUGAGGGCACUGUCCUCCAGAAGUUUGUCACAACUUGUGUUUUCUGCUUCAUAUAAAGCCGAUUGAGCUCUCAGUUGAUAAAUGUGAAGAGUUUUUAUCAUUUUUCUCUGAAACAGUUCAAACUGUUAGGAAUGCAUUUUCCCUCCCUCUCAAACUCUUCCUGACUUUUGCUUUAAAACACUUUGCACCCUAAUGCAUUAAAGUCAGUCAAGGAUAAUUUAAAAUCUACUACAGUUCAACCACUUCCUGACUAAAAUCUUAAAAAAUAGUUUAUUUUAUUUAUUAUUUUUUUCUAUUACUAUAUCAUCCCAUUUGUAGGGUUAGAAAUAUGCUAGAAAAGUAUUUAUUUAUUUGAUUUCAUAAAAAAUUUGAGUCCCACAUAUAUCCUCCUAAUUUCAAUAAAAACAAUAUUUUAGGACAACUUUGGAUCAGAUGGUCAUGAUUAAGUACCAAUGGGACAAGUCAGUAAAUACUGUCUGUGUGUGAUGUGCGAAACUUCCAAUCUACAUCUGAGAGAAAAUAUGAAGUGAGAACAUACUACAAUAAGUGUACACAGUAUGCUGGUAGUCACACAAAAAAAUGAUUUUAUAUAUAAUGAUUAAAUUAAAAAUACUGUAAAACACUGAUCCCUGACCCUACUCUACCUCUUUUGACUAUGAUACAUUGCAAUUGACAAAAGGCUCAAUGAAUGUUAGAUUGUCUACAGAUGAGACAUUCAGUCAUAUUAGAUUUUAAAUAGAUUAGUUUAUAUCAUCAUCUUAUCAAAGUGCACCUUUUACAAAUAUUUACAGUUAACAUGACCUGCAGUACCCUGAUCAUCACUAAAGAUUGAGAUAUUUUUAGGCAACAGUUUCCGUAUACCUGGAAGGACUUUGAGAUUCAGGCCGUCUCAUCACUGCAGAUGUCCAUCAAAUAAUCCCACUUCACCAUGACUUUGACAUUCACUCAACUUCAAGUAUAUCUUUUUUUUUUUUUGUUUCAGUAGGAUUGGAGAAAAAUGCCUUCUUAUUGUUUGUUAUUGAACUUUUCAGUUUUGGAUUUUCGGAGCUGUGGAACUUCCCUUUGAGGGAUAAUAAAGUUUAUUAUUAUGGAAUUAAAUUACAAAUAAUUAUGUCUAUUGAUCUUUCAUCUGUCUUUUUGGACCAAUAGAUAACAUACUGUAGAUCUGUCCAACAGAGCAACGUCAAAAUAGUUCACUGUUAUUAUAAAAACCUCAAUAAAAAAGCUACAUCGAUAUCAAGGUGCAUCCAUGUCCUGACAAUUACCGAUACCACUGAUAUGUAAAUAAAUAUAUAAUUUAAAUUAUUGUUAAAUAACUGAUAUUUUGUAAGGUGCAAAAUAAAUACAAAAAUAAUUCAAAACUGACAAACUCCAAACUGGAAUCUAAUUGGAG
Scomber scombrus (Atlantic mackerel) is the source of this 4548-nucleotide long non-coding RNA. RefSeq lists it as uncharacterized. The transcript has 3 exons. Lineage: Eukaryota; Metazoa; Chordata; Actinopteri; Scombriformes; Scombridae. The record is from RefSeq and is a predicted model, not a curated record.